GUGCUCGCUUCCACAGCACAUAUGCUAAAAUUGUAGCAAAACAGAGAAGAUUAGCUUGGCCCCUAGAUAACAAGGAUGACACACAAAUUUGUGAAGCAUUCCAUAGUUUU
Talpa occidentalis (Iberian mole) is the source of this 110-nucleotide small nuclear RNA. Lineage: Eukaryota; Metazoa; Chordata; Mammalia; Eulipotyphla; Talpidae. The record is from RefSeq and is a predicted model, not a curated record.